This is a long non-coding RNA of Lemur catta (Ring-tailed lemur), 202 nucleotides long. RefSeq lists it as uncharacterized. The record is from RefSeq and is a predicted model, not a curated record. NCBI's taxonomy places the organism in Eukaryota, Metazoa, Chordata, Mammalia, Primates, Lemuridae. The transcript has 3 exons.
AGCUUGUGGCCGACUCUUCUGUCUGUACCUCCUGUUGCAGACGACUGAGAUGGGGCUAGGGUAAUCCGGAUCAUUCCCCUUAAGUAAUUCCUGAGCCUGCUGGACAAGUGUUUCAUGGACAACGGACGCUAUAUUCCGUCUGUCUUGCUGUGCUGAAUUGGACAGAAGAAGACAGAAUUGGAGGACGAGGAGGAGAAGGAGG